This is a non-coding RNA of Aegilops tauschii subsp. strangulata, 557 nucleotides long. The record is from RefSeq and is a predicted model, not a curated record. Lineage: Eukaryota; Viridiplantae; Streptophyta; Magnoliopsida; Poales; Poaceae.
UCUCGUACACACGGCUUCGGGCUACCUACUCGAGCCAGUUAGAGAGUACGGGGCGUUCACAGACUCCCUUAGCCCGCCAGCAUGCUGUAAGUACUUCCCCUUUAUCUUUUCUCUCUAGCAUUCUCAGUUUAUUUUCAGCAUUGCUCACUUAGAAACAACCUAAAUUAUGUAGGCAUAUAAGGCCUUUGUCGAGCAUAGGAAUCUCGAGGUGCGAGAGUACUUGCAACGAGUGAAGGCAAACGAUGAUUACAACCGUCAGAUGAUGGCGGCUAUGUUGGCGUCUUGGAGUAACCGCACGGAUCCACCACAAAUGGGACCCCCACCACCACCUGCGGGAGAACCCCCACACGUGCCCACGUUCGAUGAAUGGGUGGCACUAGGCAGUGAUAGUCCGGGGACCGGUGGCUCGACUCCUGCUCCAUCGACCCCAGUCACUCCGAUCUUCCAGAGUGAUGGUGGUCGCGGUGGCGGUUUUGGCGGUGGCGAUUUUGGCGGAGGUGGUCUUGGCGGUGGUGGUUUUGGCGGAGGUGGUCUUGGUGGUGGUGGUUUUGGCGGAG